Long non-coding RNA from Triticum aestivum (bread wheat), 1496 nucleotides. RefSeq lists it as uncharacterized. NCBI's taxonomy places the organism in Eukaryota, Viridiplantae, Streptophyta, Magnoliopsida, Poales, Poaceae. The transcript has 4 exons. The record is from RefSeq and is a predicted model, not a curated record.
UGGGGCAGGCGGGGGCGGAGGUGGCCGAGGAGGGAGGCGGAGGUGGCUGUGGUGGUCUGGGCGGAGGGCGGCGGCGGUGGUCCGGGCGGACGACGACGCCGGAGAUGGUCCGGGCGAAGGGCGGUGACGGUGGUAAUCCGGGCGGACGGCGGCGAGGGAGAUGGUCCGGGCGGAGGGCGGCAGCGGUGGUGGUCUAGGCGGACGGCCGCCACAGAGAUUGUCCGGGCGGAGGCCGACGAUGGCGUUGGUCCGGGCGGACGACGGCUAUGGCGGUGGUCCGGCUGGAGGCUUCCGGUAGGAACGCCCGGUGGCGACCCGAUCCAAGCGGCGGGGCUGUUGGAGCCGUGGAGGAUAAGGUUGGGACGUGGGGUGGGUGUAUGCUAAAAAGUGCAGUUGCACUUUUUAGACGUUUUGGGCACACACCUUCGCUGGCCGUCGCAUCUCCUCGUGCGCGAGAUCACGACACACAGGUGAAUUCCUGUCGGAACCCACGACUCGAACACUCCGCACCCCUGUACUGCCCGCCGGGCCCACUAUCUCCCAUCCCUUUCCUUUUCUCCGUCAUGGCCCCGCUCCCCGCCGCCGCCUCGGCCCGCUCCCAUCGCCACCACCUCCACAUGCGCACCUUCGCGGCCAAUACCUCUUCUCGCUGUCGCGACCAGACGCCACCACCACCUCCCACUGCCGCGGCCGCACGCCACCACUACCGGAUGGGUCAACGCCUCCAUUAGGCCACCUUCCCGCCCCCAAGCACCGCCACGAAGUAGCCCCCGCCCCUAGCCGUCGGUAUGCUUAAGGGUCGCCACCGCUUCCUGCUUCCCCAACGAGGGACGGAGCUCAUCGCUCCCGGAGGCUGUCCUCCUCCCCGGUGGUGAACCCGGCGUGAGACGGGCCUCAUUGUGACGCGGAUCUGGAUUUGGGGUCGUCUGCGCCAUCCCCGAUGUACCCGGUGGCCACCAUGCACCGCGGGCACAAGCCGUCGUGCGCCUGCACUCAAUUGGCUCCGUGGCUCCUCUUCCUGCCUAAGCUCGUCCGCCCCGCGACUCCCCUUUGUGCAGACUUUUUUCAACCCAAUCAUUGGUCCGGCGAGUCCCAACUGGCAGCCUAACGCCGACGAGCCCGUCUACUGGUGGAACAAGAAAUGCUUGUGUACAGAGAAUAAAAUUGAUUGGCCUAUGUGCGUGGAGGUGAGCGUUUGUUUAGCCAUGGCAGCGACAACACGGUCCAAAGUGUUGUGGUGUUGAAGCUGUAAGUGAAAAAUAAUGUCGCUGAAGAUGGUGGCUGUAACAAUAGCAGGAGGAUGAUGCAUGCCAUGCACGUUCAGAGGAAACAACAGUUCAGAACUUGACAACGGAGGGUAGGAGAGAGGUAUGGGAGUAUUGACGACCAGCAAGCAAAGCAAGAGGAAAACCAAGGGGGCGGCGCCAUCCGUGCGCCACGACCACCUAGCGGGGUGGAUCUAGAUCUAGGAAAGCAUUGUCACGAGUGAUCGAGGA